Molecule: ribosomal RNA, 398 nt
Filed under: Tachysurus ussuriensis (Ussuri catfish)
Lineage: Eukaryota; Metazoa; Chordata; Actinopteri; Siluriformes; Bagridae
Description: partial 12S ribosomal RNA
Source: RNAcentral
CAAAGGCUUGGUCCUGACUUUACUAUCAGCUUUAACUCAAUUUAUACAUGCAAGUAUCCGCAUCCCCGUGAGAAUGCCCUCAAUCCUCUGUCCGAGAACGAGGAGCAAGCAUCAGGCACAAUCAACUUAAGCCCAAGACGCCUUGCUAAGCCACACCCACAAGGGAUUUCAGCAGUAAUAAAUAUUAAGCCAUAAGUGAAAACUUGACUUAGUUAGAGUUAAAAGGGCCGGUAAAAUUCGUGCCAGCCACCGCGGUUAUACGAAAGACCCUAGUUGAUAGACACGGCGUAAAGGGUGGUUAAGGAAAACAAAUUAAUAAAGCUAAAGACCCUCUAAGCUGUCAUACGCAUUCCGAGAACACGAAACCCAAACACGAAAGUCGCUUUAAAUACUAUACC